UUNCAGCUUUUUGGUCAAUGCCUGGGAUC
RNAcentral lists this non-coding RNA (29 nucleotides) under Mus musculus (house mouse). Lineage: Eukaryota; Metazoa; Chordata; Mammalia; Rodentia; Muridae. The record is from RNAcentral.